GGCCGAGUAGGCGGCGAACUGUAGACUCGCCCACGGCGUACAGAUGCCCCUCCUGCCAA
Molecule: transfer RNA, 59 nt
Filed under: Cyrtodactylus soba
Lineage: Eukaryota; Metazoa; Chordata; Lepidosauria; Squamata; Gekkonidae
Description: partial tRNA-Tyr
Source: RNAcentral